CCUACGGGGUGCAGCAGUGAGGAAUAUUGGUCAAUGGCCGUAAGGCUGACCCAGCAACGCCGCGUGAAGGAAGAAGGCGUUCGGGUGGUAAACUUCUUGUGGCAGGGAAGAGGAGAAGACGGGACCUGACGAAUAAGCCACGGCUAACUACGGGCCAGCAGCCGCGGUAAUACGGAGGUGGCAAGCGUUGUCCGGAUUUACGGGGGGGAAAGGGCGUGUAGCCGGGUUGACAAGUCAGAUGUGCAAUCCUGCGGCUUAACCGCAGAACUGCAUUUGAAACUGUUGAUCUUGAGUACUGGAGAGGCAGACGGAAUUCCUAGUGUCGCGGUUCAAUGCGUAGCUAUUAGGC
This 349-nucleotide ribosomal RNA is filed under the name uncultured bacterium. RNAcentral describes it as "partial 16S ribosomal RNA". It matches the Rfam family "Bacterial small subunit ribosomal RNA", at positions 338 to 702 of the family's 1533-position model. The record is from RNAcentral.